CACGUAGGGUGCAAGCGUUGUCCGGAAUUAUUGGGCGUAAAGCGCGUGUAGGCGGCUUGUCAAGCCGGGCGUGAAAUCCCUCAGCUCAACUGGGGAACUGCGUCCGAUACUGGAUGGCUCGAGUUUGGGAGAGGGAUGCGGAAUUCCAGGUGUAGCGGUGAAAUGCGUAGAUAUGUGGAGGAACACCGAUGGCGAAGGCAGCCCCCUGGGGUAACACUGACGCUCAUGCACGAAAGCGUGGGGAGCAAACAGG
Molecule: ribosomal RNA, 253 nt
Filed under: uncultured bacterium
Lineage: Bacteria
Description: partial 16S ribosomal RNA
Rfam family: Bacterial small subunit ribosomal RNA
Source: RNAcentral